GGACCCGCACAAGCGGUGGAGCGUGUUCUUUAGUUCGAGGCUAAACGAAGAACCUUACCCAGGCUUGACAUCCCGAGAAUUUCUCCGAAAGGAGAGAGUGCUUUAUUGAACUCGGUGACAGAUCUUGCAUGGCCGUCGUCAGCUCGUGUCGUGAGAUGUUUGGUUAAGUCCAUCAACGAGCGCAACCCUUAUCGUUAGUUGUAUUUUUCUAGCGAGACUGCCCCCGGUAACGGGGAGGAAGGAGGGGAUGAUGUCAGGUCAGUAUUAGUCUUACGUCUGGGGCUAGAAACGCGCUACAAUGGCCGGUACAACGGGCAGCGAAACAGUAAUGUGAAGCAAAUCCCACCAAAACCGGUCCCAGUUCGGAUUGAGGGCUGAAACUCGCCCUCAUGAAGUCGGAAUCGCUAGUAAUCGCAGAUCAGCACGCUG
RNAcentral lists this ribosomal RNA (429 nucleotides) under uncultured bacterium. RNAcentral describes it as "bacterial SSU rRNA". It matches the Rfam family "Bacterial small subunit ribosomal RNA", at positions 917 to 1359 of the family's 1533-position model. The record is from RNAcentral.